UACGAAGGGGGCUAGCGUUGUUCGGAAUCACUGGGCGUAAAGGGCGCGUAGGCGGCUUUGUAAGUCGGGGGUGAAAGCCUGUGGCUCAACCACAGAAUGGCCUUUGAUACUGGGACGCUUGAGUAUGGUAGAGGUUGGUGGAACUGCGAGUGUAGAGGUGAAAUUCGUAGAUAUUCGCAAGAACACCGGUGGCGAAGGCGGCCAACUGGACCAUUACUGACGCUGAGGCGCGAAAGCGUGGGGAGCAAACAGG
This 253-nucleotide ribosomal RNA is filed under the name uncultured bacterium. Its description in RNAcentral is "partial 16S ribosomal RNA". It matches the Rfam family "Bacterial small subunit ribosomal RNA", at positions 524 to 776 of the family's 1533-position model. The record is from RNAcentral.